UUGCCUACGGGGCGCAGCAGUGAGGAAUAUUGGUCAAUGGGCGGGAGCCUGAACCAGCCAAGUCGCGUGAAGGAAGAAGGUACUUAGUAUUGUAAACUUCUUUUGUCGGGGAACAAAGGCGGAGACGCGUCUCCGGAUGAGUGUACCCGAAGAAAAAGCAUCGGCUAACUCCGUGCCAGCAGCCGCGGUAAUACGGAGGAUGCGAGCGUUAUCCGGAUUUAUUGGGUUUAAAGGGUGCGUAGGCGGAAUGCCAAGUCAGCGGUAAAAUCGCGGGGCUCAACCUCGCUCCGCCGUUGAAACUGGCG
This 305-nucleotide ribosomal RNA is filed under the name uncultured bacterium. RNAcentral's name for it is "bacterial SSU rRNA". It matches the Rfam family "Bacterial small subunit ribosomal RNA", at positions 335 to 638 of the family's 1533-position model. The record is from RNAcentral.